CCUACGGGAGACAGCAGUGAGGAAUAUUGGUCAAUGGGCGCGAGCCUGAACCAGCCAAGUAGCGUGAAGGAUGACUGCCCUACGGGUUGUAAACUUCUUUUAUAAAGGAAUAAAGUGAGGCACGUGUGCCUUUUUGUGUGUACUUUAUGAAUAAGGAUCGGCUAACUCCGUGCCAGCAGCCGCGGUAAUACGGAGGAUCCGAGCGUUAUCCGGAUUUAUUGGGUUUAAAGGGUGCGUAGAUGGGAUGUUAAGUCAGUUGUGAAAGUUUGCGGCUCAACCGUAAAAUUGCAGUUGAUACUGGCAGCCUUGAGUACGGUAGAGGUAGGCGGAAUUCGUGGUGUAGCGGUGAAAUGCUUAGAUAUCACGAAGAACUCCGAUUGCGAAGGCAGCUUACUAACCUGCCACUGACAUUGAUGCACGAAAGUGUGGGUAUCAAACAGGAUUAGAUACCCUGGUAGUC
RNAcentral lists this ribosomal RNA (460 nucleotides) under uncultured bacterium. RNAcentral's name for it is "partial 16S ribosomal RNA". It matches the Rfam family "Bacterial small subunit ribosomal RNA", at positions 338 to 795 of the family's 1533-position model. The record is from RNAcentral.